CUCAACCAGUUUCUUCUCGACUAACACCGACAAAUAAUGAAAAUCGUGUGAAACGAAAGGGUGAAACAACAACUCAACAUGUUGGAUCACCAAAGACACCUUCGGAAGGUCAUUCUCCAAACGCAGCCAAUGAAAAUGGAUCGUCGUUCCUACCACAUUCUCCAUCAUCGUCACCUGGUCAAGAAGAAAGUGUGGAGAGUCCUUUAGGUUCCGCUAGGGAAACACCUACAAACGAAGCAAGUUUCAUUGGAAGAUCACCAAAUAAUGAAGAUCAUUUGAAAACAUCAAGUGGGGCUCCUUCUUCAACACCUACAAUUGGAAAAUCAAUUCCAUCGUUGGAACCACAACAAGAAGACAUGGCAUCUCCACAAACAGGAUCUCCUCGACUAACACCGACAGAUAAUAAAAAUCAUGUGAAACGAAAGGGUCAAACAACAACGCAACAUGUUAGAUCACCAAAUUCACCUUUGGAAGGUCAUUCUCCAAACGCACCCAAUGAAAAUGGUUCGUCGUUCCUACCACAUUCUCCAUCAUCGUCACCUGGUCAAGAAGAAAGUGUGGAGAGUCCUUCAGGUUCCGCUAGGGAAACACCUACAAACGAAGCAAGUUUCAUUGGAAGAUCACCAAAUAAUGAAGUACAUUUGAAAACAUCAAGUGGGGUUCCUUCGUCAACACCUACAAUUGGAAAAUCAAUUCCAUCGUUGGAACCACAACAAGAAGACAUGGCAUCUCCUCAACCAGUUUCUUCUCGACUAACACCGACAAAUAAUGAAAAUCGUGUGAAACGAAAGGGUGAAACGACAACGCAACAUGUUGGAUCACCAAAUUCACCUUUGGAAGGUCAUUCUCCAAACGCACCCAAUGAAAAUGGUUCGUCGUUCCAACCACAUUCUCCAUCAUCGUCACCUGGUCAAGAAGAAAGUGUGGAGAGUCCUUCAGGUUCCGCUAGGGAAACACCUACAAACGAAGCAAGUUUCAUUGGAAGAUCACCAAAUAAUAAUGAAGAUCAUUUGAAAACAUCAAGUGGGGCUCCUUCGUCAACACCUACAAUUGGUAAAUCAAUUCCAUCGUUGGAACCACAACAAGAAGACAUGGCAUCUCCACAAACAGGAUCUCCUCGACGAACACCGACAGAUAAUAAAAAUCAUGUGAAACGAAAGGGUCAAACAACAACGCAACAUGUUAGAUCACCAAAUUCACCUUUGGAAGGUCAUUCUCCAAACGCACCCAAUGAAAAUGGUUCGUCGUUCCUACCACAUUCUCCAUCAUCGUCACCUGGUCAAGAAGAAAGUGUGGAGAGUCCUUCAGGUUCCGCUAGGGAAACACCUACAAACGAAGCAAGUUUCAUUGGAAGAUCACCAAAUAAUGAAGAUCAUUUGAAAACAUCAAGUGGGGCUCCUUCGUCAACACCUACAAUUGGAAAAUCAAUUCCAUCGUUGGAACCACAACAAGAAGACAUGGCAUCUCCUCAACCAGUUUCUUCUCGACUAACCCCGACAAAUAAUGAAAAUCGUGUGAAACGAAAGGGUGAAACAACAACUCAACAUGUUGGAUCACCAAAGACACCUUUGGAAGGUCAUUCUCCAAACGCACCCAAUGAAAAUGGAUCGUCGUUCCUACCACAUUCUCCAUCAUCGUCACCUGGUCAAGAAGAAAGUGUGGAGAGUCCUUCAGGUUCCGCUAGGGAAACACCUACAAACGAAGCAAGUUUCAUUGGAAGAUCACCAAAUAAUAAUGAAGAUCAUUUGAAAAUAUCAAGUGAGGCUCCUUCGUCAACACCUACAAUUGGUAAAUCAAUUCCAUCGUUGGAACCACAACAAGAAGACAUGGCAUCUCCACAAACAGGAUCUCCUCGACUAACACCGACAGAUAAUGAAAAUCAUGUGAAACGAAAGGGUCAAACAACAACGCAACAUGUUGGAUCACCAAAGACACCUUUGGAAGGUCAUUCUCCAAACGCACCCAAUGAAAAUGGAUUGUCGUUCCUACCACAUUCUCCAUCAUCGUCACCUGGUCAAGAAGAAAGUGUGGAGAGUCCUUCAGGUUCCGCUAGGGAAACACCAACAAACGAAGCAAGUUUCAUUGGAAGAUCACCAAAUAAUGAAGAUCAUUUGAAAACAUCAAGUGGGGCUCCUUCGUCAACACCUACAAUUGGAAAAUCAAUUCCAUCGUUGGAACCACAACAAGAAGACAUGGCAUCUCCUCAACCAGUUUCUUCUCGACUAACACCGACAAAUAAUGAAAAUCGUGUGAAACGAAAGGGUGAAACAACAACUCAACAUGUUGGAUCACCAAAUUCACCUUUGGAAGGUCAUUCUCCAAACGCACCCAAUGAAAAUGGUUCGUCGUUCCAACCACAUUCUCCAUCAUCGUCACCUGGUCAAGAAGAAAGUGUGGAGAGUCCUUUAGGUUCCGCUAGGGAAACACCUACAAACGAAGCAAGUUUCAUUGGAAGAUCACCAAAUAAUGAAGAUCAUUUGAAAACAUCAAGUGGGGCUCCUUCGUCAACACCUACAAUUGGUAAAUCAAUUCCAUCGUUAGAACCACAACAAGAAGACAUGGCAUCUCCACAAACAGGAUCUCCUCGACUAACACCGACAGAUAAUAAAAAUCAUGUGAAACGAAAGGGUCAAACAACAACGCAACAUGUUAGAUCACCAAAUUCACCUUUGGAAGGUCAUUCUCCAAACGCACCCAAUGAAAAUGGUUCGUCGUUCCUACCACAUUCACCAUCAUCGUCACCUGGUCAAGAAGAAAGUGUGGAGAGUCCUUCAGGUUCCGCUAGGGAAACACCUACAAACGAAGCAAGUUUCAUUGGAAGAUCACCAAAUAAUAAUGAAGAUCAUUUGAAAACAUCAAGUGAGGCUCCUUCGUCAACACCUACAAUUGGUAAAUCAAUUCCAUCGUUGGAACCACAACAAGAAGACAUGGCAUCUCCACAAACAGGAUCUCCUCGACUAACACCGACAGAUAAUAAAAAUCAUGUGAAACGAAAGGGUCAAACAACAACGCAACAUGUUAGAUCACCAAAUUCACCUUUGGAAGGUCAUUCUCCAAACGCACCCAAUGAAAAUGGUUCGUCGUUCCUACCACAUUCUCCACCAUCGUCACCUGAUCAUGAAGAAAUUGUGGAGAGUCCUUCAGGUUCUGCUAGGGAAACACCUACAAACGAAGCAAGUUUCAUUAGAAGAUCACCAAAUAAUGAAGAUCAUUUGAAAACAUCAAGUGGGGCUCCUUCGUCAACACCUACAAUUGGUAAAUCAAUUCCAUCGUUGGAACCAAAACAAGAAGACAUGGCAUCUCCUCAAACAGGAUCUCCUCUGCCAACACCGACAAAUAAAGAAAAACGUGUGAAACGAAAGGGUCAAACGACAACGCAACAUGUUGGAUCACGAAAUUCACCUUUGGAAGGUGAUUCUCCAAACGCACCCAAUGAAAAUGGUUCGUCGUUUCAACCACAUUCUCCAUCAUCGUCACCUGACCAUGAAGAAAGUGUGGAGAGUCCUUCAGGUUUUGGUAGGGAAACACCUACAAACGAAGCAAGUUUCAUUGGAAGAUCACCAAAUAAUGAAGUUCAUUUGAAAACAUCAAGUGGGGCUCCUUCGUCAACACCUACAAUUGGACAAUCAAUUCCAUCGUUGGAACCACAACAAGAAGAUAUGGCAUCUCCACAACCAGUUUCUUCUCGACUAACACCGACAAAUAAUGAAAAUCGUGUGAAACGAAAGGGUCAAAUAACAACUCAACAUGUUGGAUCACCAAAGACACCUUUGAAAGGUCAUUCUCCAAACGCACCCAAUGAAAAUGGUUCGUCGUUCCAACCACAUUCUCCAUCAUCGUCACCUGACCACGAAGAAAGUGUGGAAAGUCCUUCAGGUUUUGGUAGGGAAACAAGUACAAACGAAGCAAGUUUAAUUGGAAGAUCACCAAAUAAUGAAGAUCAUUUGAAAACAUCAAGUGGGGCUCCUUCGUCAACACCUACAAUUGGAAAAUCAAUUCCAUCAUUGGAACCCCAACAAGAAGACAUGACAUCUCCACAUAUCGGAUCUCCUCGACCAACACCGACAAGCAAU
Molecule: long non-coding RNA, 4073 nt
Filed under: Zostera marina
Lineage: Eukaryota; Viridiplantae; Streptophyta; Magnoliopsida; Alismatales; Zosteraceae
Description: long non-coding RNA (ZMAR_LNC004438)
Source: RNAcentral